Molecule: ribosomal RNA, 497 nt
Filed under: uncultured bacterium
Lineage: Bacteria
Description: partial 16S ribosomal RNA
Rfam family: Bacterial small subunit ribosomal RNA
Source: RNAcentral
GACGAACGCUGGCGGCGUGCCUAAUACAUGCAAGUUGAGCGCUGAAGGUUGGUACUUGUACCAACUGGAUGAGCAGCGAACGGGUGAGUAACGCGUGGGGAAUCUGCCUUUGAGCGGGGGACAACAUUUGGAAACGAAUGCUAAUACCGCAUAAAAACUUUAAACACAAGUUUUAAGUUUGAAAGAUGCAAUUGCAUCACUCAAAGAUGAUCCCGCGUUGUAUUAGCUAGUUGGUGAGGUAAAGGCUCGCCAAGGCGAUGAUACAUAGCCGACCUGAGAGGGUGAUCGGCCACAUUGGGACUGAGACACGGCCCAAACUCCUACGGGAGGCAGCAGUAGGGAAUCUUCGGCAAUGGACGAAAGUCUGACCGAGCAACGCCGCGUGAGUGAAGAAGGUUUUCGGAUCGUAAAACUCUGUUGGUAGAGAAGAACGUUGGUGAGAGUGGAAAGCUCAUCAAGUGACGGUAACUACCCAGAAAGGGACGGCUAACUACGUG